This 410-nucleotide ribosomal RNA is filed under the name uncultured bacterium. RNAcentral's name for it is "bacterial SSU rRNA". It matches the Rfam family "Bacterial small subunit ribosomal RNA", at positions 355 to 776 of the family's 1533-position model. The record is from RNAcentral.
UGGGGAAUAUUGCGCUAAUGCGCGAAAGCGUGACGCAGCGACGCCGCGUGGGGGAUGAAGGCCUUCGGGUCGUAAACCCCUUUCGCCAGGGACGAAGCGAGAGUGACGGUACCUGGAGAAGAAGUCCCGGCUAACUACGUGCCAGCAGCCGCGGUAACACGUAGGGGACGAGCGUUGUCCGGAUUCAUUGGGCGUAAAGCGCGCGUAGGCGGCCCGGAAAGUCGGAUGUGAAAUCCUGGGGCUCAACCCCAGGCCUGCACCCGAUACUCCCGGGCUGGAGGUAGGUAGGGGAGAUCGGAAUUCCUGGUGUAGCGGUGAAAUGCGCAGAUAUCAGGAGGAACACCGGUGGCGAAGGCGGAUCUCUGGGCCUUACCUGACGCUGAGGCGCGAAAGCUAGGGGAGCGAACAGG